This 327-nucleotide ribosomal RNA is filed under the name Echinopus minutus. RNAcentral describes it as "partial 12S ribosomal RNA". Lineage: Eukaryota; Metazoa; Arthropoda; Insecta; Ephemeroptera; Baetidae. The record is from RNAcentral.
AUAAAUUGUUGUUAAUAAAACCUCAGAGUAGUAACAGUAUUCUCUAAACUCAAAAAUUUUGGCGGCAUUUCCCCCUGUUAGAGGAACCUGCCCCUUAAACGAUGACCCACGAUUUAUUUUACCAUUUAUAAAAGUUUGUAUACCGCCGUUUAUGAAGAUACUAUAAAGUAUUUUCUUAUUUAUAUUAAUUUUUAUUUCAGGUCAAGGUGCAGCUUAUGAGAUGGUGGAGGUGGGUUACAUUAAUUUUAUUUAUAUAAAUAAUUAAUUUGAAAUUAAAUUGAAAGUGGAUUUAAUUGUAAAUUUACUAAUUAAGUAAAUUGAUUAGGU